RNAcentral lists this ribosomal RNA (496 nucleotides) under uncultured bacterium. RNAcentral's name for it is "partial 16S ribosomal RNA". It matches the Rfam family "Bacterial small subunit ribosomal RNA", at positions 29 to 507 of the family's 1533-position model. The record is from RNAcentral.
AUGAACGCUGGCGGCGUGCCUAAUACAUGCAAGUCGAGCGAACGGACGGGAAGCUUGCUUCUCUGAUGUUAGCGGCGGACGGGUGAGUAACACGUGGAUAACCUACCUAUAAGACUGGGAUAACUUCGGGAAACCGGAGCUAAUACCGGAUAAUAUUUUGAACCGCAUGGUUCAAAAGUGAAAGACGGUCUUGCUGUCACUUAUAGAUGGAUCCGCGCUGCAUUAGCUAGUUGGUAAGGUAACGGCUUACCAAGGCAACGAUGCAUAGCCGACCUGAGAGGGUGAUCGGCCACACUGGAACUGAGACACGGUCCAGACUCCUACGGGAGGUAGCAGUAGGGAAUCUUCCGCAAAGGGCGAAAGCCUGACGGAGCAACGCCGCGUGAGUGAUGAAGGUCUUCGGAUCGUAAAACUCUGUUAUUAGGGAAGAACAUAUGUGUAAGUAACUGUGCACAUCUUGACGGUACCUAAUCAGAAAGCCACGGCUAACUACGUG